CACAGGGUCUCCCGAAUUCACUCUACUCGCAGCCUUUCUCACACUACACCCAGCCACUAAACCUUUCAGGCCCACAGCAAUCUCAACCUCCUAACCAAGGCUCACAAAACCCAAAACCUCCUCACAACGGCUAAAGAUGACACAUGCAGAAGCUGAAUGCAAACGGGUUUGUAAACCUUUUUUUUUGCAAAUUCAGCAGUUUGGUAUCAUGCUAUCACGGCUCCAAACAAACAUCUGGUGGCUUCUCGGGGUGCUUGCAAGUUACGUGCCUUUCUGGCUCGCUUAGCAACAGGUAAUGAUGAUGCAGAGAGACAUGUACCUAAGUAACCCGAGGAGAUUCUUGGUCCAUACAUCCUCUGGGCUUAUAUAAAUGUUUGGUUUUGCCGUGUAAUAUUAUAAUAUCAUCCUCUUAUUGUAGUCUAUAUCUGAAGCUACCCUUAGUUAAAAAUCGGUGUUGGUGUCUGGUGAUAUUGAUAUGAGUACUGCAAACUCUCUUGCCUUUAUUUAUUUUUUUCUGGAUAUUUCGCUUAAUGCGUGUCUGAAUUAUUGUUUCUGCUUCCGUGGUAUUUAUUAUAUGAUCAUCUAUGAGAUAUGUGCAAGUUUUGGUUCCAGAUAGUGUCCUAUGGGGAUUGUCCAAUCGGUUUUGGGUAUCGGACAUAUUAACACCGACUUUCUUAGGUUUGUUACGGUUUCAGGAAGUACCGCUCGUGGAACCAUCCAUACAAGCAUCGGAUUCUACCCCGGGUGUGAUCCCACAAAGUUUGGUGUUACAUUUUUUUUUUCUCUGUGUCUCGGAAGGAAUAUAUCAAAAUAAAAUGUAAGUUUUCACAGAAAAAACGGUAUAUUAUUUUCAUCAUAUUGUGCGUAUUUUUGGCUUUGGUGAAGGUUAUUAGUCCAGAAAGGACAAAGCCCAUUUGGGUUGGUUUUGGACACGAAAGGGAUUGUGCAGCAUUGGCAAAUAGUGGUUAACGUUCGUCUAUCUGGUCUGGUGUUCCUUGUGAGGACCGUAGUUGGGCCCAAAUAUCAUAAAGAAACACACGAAACACUCUCCGUUUUUGGUUUUGAUCCCAGACAGACAAGAACACUCUCUCAUGUAUGGCAAAUGCCCUCCCUCUUUAAAUCAAAUAACGGACAGGAAGCAGUUGCGGCCCUGGGUAUAAGCAUUAGAAACAUCUGAUUCCGGCCGUUGAUAAUUAACAAAAUUUUCAGCCUAUUUAUAAAAUAUGCCAGUAGGUUAGAUGAUCAAACUAGCUAACAAAUCCCUCCAUAAUAAAAUUUUGGGUUUCUAGUCUUUGUUUUUGUAGAGCUUUUUACUGCUGGGCCUGAGUAGAAAUCAAGAAACAUAAAUAGAUAGAAAUGUGAGAUGUCCAGGACUUUAUGCCUGCUCUCUCUCUCUCUCUUUCUCGAGUCACUCUCAAAAUCUGGUUCGGGUUAGGUUAUAGACAUUUUAUGUGGAACUCAAAAACUGAGAUAGGAUCAAUACUUUUAAAAAUCUAUGCAUUUCUUAUUUUCCAAAACCCAAACAAACAAACCAAACGAAUAUUUUAAUUUUACUGAAAGUAUUAUUUGUAUUUAAUUUUAAAAUAAUUAUAUAUAAAUAUAGUUUAUAAUUAAAACAAGUACAUUUAUAUAUUUUUUUCAGCUACUAGCCAAUUCUCGAUAUUUUUAGCAAAAUCGAACUGAAUUCUGUAGAAACCCUGUCUAAACCUGAAAGCACCGACAGUGCCGGCUCAAUAGGGAGUGCGGCCGGUGCGACCGCCCCGGGUCCGGUUCAAAUCUUACAAUAUUAGGGGCCCUAAUUAUUUAAUUAGCAUAUCUGAUUUAGAUUUAAACAGUAUUAAAACGAUGUAUCAUAAUUUUUUCUAGUUAAAUUAUCAAAGAGAAUAUACAUGUUUGAUGCUCGAGUCGAAAUUUCAGGAAAUUUUUUUACCAACGUUAAAAAAUUAACUUACUAUAGGGGCUUUAAAAUUCUUUUUGCCCAAGGGCCCUUCUAUAUAUUAAGCCGGCCCUGAGCACCGAAAACCAUAAACUCGAACUGGAACCAAACUAUAAUGCCCUCUGCCUAAAUCAAACACUGAAAAUCUGAAACUUUGUAACCCAUUUGCUACUUGUGUUACAGGCUUCACGGUACACAGAUAUAUCCUAUUGAUUAAAUAGUGGGCUUUAAGACAAGGCCUUUCCAGUUUUUGUGGGCCGAAACUGAAAAUAAAAUGCUACACUUGCCCACCAGCGAACGUGAACAUCAGAGUCACAGAUAACAACACUUGAGAGAGUUAUCAGAAAGAGUUCCCUAUCGACACUCUCUCUCUCUCUCUCUUCCUCUCAGCAUCAUCAUCACCACCAAAUCGCCGCCAUGUUCAGACAAGCUUCUCGCCUCGUCUCCCGAUCUAUCACCGCCAAAUCGGCGACAAACCGUGCGUUUUCAACGGAAGUCCCGUCGACGAUCGAUUCGAGUUUCGUGGAGGCAUGGAAGAAAGUCGCACCGAACAUGGACCCGCCGCAGACUCCUUCUUCCUUCAUGAAGCCUCGUCCAUCGACUGCUUCCUCGAUUCCGACGAAGCUCACCGUCAAUUUCGUCCUCCCUUACGCAUCUGAGCUUUCCGGGAAAGAGGUCGGCUUUCAUUUUUCCUCGUUCGAUGUUCGCAUUUAGGUUUCUAGGGUUUGAUCUAUGACUCUGUGUGUUAUGGUUACAUAUUUGAUUGUUGUUUGAUUUCAUGAUAAGGUGGUUAAUUAGGUCUGAAGACUUUUGAUUUUUGGUUAGAUCUAACGGCGCUAAAGUUUAGGGUUUUGAUAGGCCAAAGCUGAAACUGGCGCAGUUGAUGUUUCGUUUAGUUUCUACAUAAUUGUUAAUAACAAGAUCAAGAACAAAAAAAAAAGCCUCACUUUUUAGUGAUUAAGAAUAACCUAAAUCUCCCUAAUUUCUCAGGUUUACCAUUUGUUGUCUCUGCAAAAUGUUGCUUGCUAUAAAUCCAUUAAAAUUUUAUUAAGAGUUUUGUUAUCUCUGCUCUGUUCAUAACCAAAUGAUCCUGGUGUGUUUUUUACGGUUUCUAAUACAAUGUGAUUGGCAAAUAAUGUUUGUUUCAUAUAUCUUGAAACUUUGAUGUUGACAAAUUAUAACUGCUGAUUUCUAAUGUGUUAAUUGGUUUUGUGAAGGUUAAUCUUUUCUCUUCUAUUGAUAUAUGAUGUGGUAUACAUAUAGACUGAAUCUCCAUGGCAAGUAGUAAUUUCUCAUUGGCUUAUUCUCAUAUGUUGGUGGUGCAUUCACUGUGAUAUCUCUUCUGUAGAAUAUACAUUCAGUACUGAAAGUUCUUAUCGUCCCUGACUUGCUUUCUGAUGCAUCCAUUGCUUAUAUCCGAGAACGUAAACCUAUUUCUUGAUUGGUUUGUUUUCUUGUAUAUAUUUAAUUAUAACUCAAAGCUUAUUGGCUUUUUCUCUUUUGUCUACUUCAAGGUCGACAUGGUCAUCAUUCCCGCGACAACAGGACAAAUGGGUGUUUUGCCUGGACACGUUCCAACAAUCGCUGAGCUCAAACCCGGUAUCAUGUCCGUCCACGAAGGUACUGACAUCAAGAAAUACUUUGUGAGCAGUGGAUUUGCAUUUCUCCACGCAAAUUCCGUUGCUGACAUUAUCGCGGUUGAGGCCGUGCCGCUUGAGAACAUCGACGCAAGCCAAGUCCAAAAGGGUUUAGCUGAGUUUACACAGAAACUUGCUUCUGCCACAACAGAUCUUGAGAAAGCAGAAGCACAGAUUGGUGUCGAAGUUCACAGUGCUAUGAACGCAGCUCUCUCGGGCUGAUGAUGAGUGAAAGUCUCUUUUUUACUACUACAAAUGAUGGAAUAAAUUAGAAAAUGAUUUUAUUUUUCCUUUUCGUAAUUGUGUUGGACUUUUUGGAAUAAAUGAUUUUGUUGAAGGCACAAACCAACAGAAAGUUAUUAUUCUUCUCGACUUAUGUUUGUUUUGAGAUUGAGAAACUAAGUUCCCGAAUUGAUUUAUGGUUUUCAUUUCCUAAAAUUCUUUUUUUCUCACUUUGGGCCAUUUUUGCAAUGUCACUUCAGAACGAUUAAAAAUUGUUGGUUUUUCUUGUUGAUUUUGAAACUCUCUCGAAGUGACAAUAUUAGUGUUUUACAGUGACCUAGAAAUAAUAUGAUUUUUAAAAUAUCGAACAACUCAUAUCAUGAUUAACAUAUCAUACUGUACGUAGGCUGGGACGGAUCCAGAUAUUCGGAAAAUUUAAUAUCCGGAUUUCGGAUAUCCGUCUCGAUAUUUUAUUACCCGCGGAUAUCCGGAUCCGUAAAAAUAAUUAAAAAUAAUAUUUUUUUUUAAAACUAAAAUUUUAAUAUAAUAUAUAAACCUGUUGGUACUGGUCGUGGAAGUUCAGUUGGGGGCCACCUUCCCCACCAACAAGCCACCCAGCAUAAUGUUGGAACUAUUGGCCCUAAUGUGAACUUCCCCCUUGAUAGUCCAAAUAGCCAGCCUUCACCUGGUGGUCCGCUAUCCCAACCUGGAUAUGUAAGUAUCGCCCUCAUCUCUUUUAAUUUUUUUCUUUCAUCUAGUAGUUUCUGAAGCAUUAGAGCUCGAUUGUUUUUGGUUGACUUUAAAUCAUCAUACGAUGUUGCCUUUUCAGGGAAGCCAAGCAUUCAGGGAUGGUUUUAUGGGCGGCAUUUCUCAGGUUGUCUUCUCGUUUUAUGUUACUUAGUGAUCAGGGGCAGUCUUUUCUACUUUUGUCUGUUAUUUAAUAUCUUCUAUGUCAAUACCACCAGGAUUUCUUAGGUGAUGAUUUCAAGAGCCAGGGAUCUCAUGUUCCUUACAACAUGGGCGACUAUUCUACACAGGUAGUUUCUCUUCUGCCUGCUUUAGUUAUUAGACAUGUAAAUACUUUGGAUAUAUGAUAGUAGGACUACGAUAAGAUGUCUUUGGAAAUGUAAAACCAAAAUUCCGAGGUUGGGCCAGAUAUAUAUAACCAUGUGUUGCAAAGUUGAUAGUUCUUGAAUUUCACAUAGGAAUUACUGACUGUUCAUGUUUUUUGUAUAUGUUCUUCGUUUCUGAGCCAUAUUUGUAUAUAAUUUCUUUGUAUGCCUCACAGGGAGGAUAUGCGGUUGAUUAUGCCACACAAGGAGCCCAUGGAGCUUUUCCUGGAAACUUUAUGAACCAAAAUUCUCAAGGGGGUUAUUCUCGUUUCAGUGGGAGUAAUGAUUUCAUGUCCCAGGUGUGUUUCACCUAGCCUUUCCUUUUAACACAGUUUUUUUUCCUUAAUUCCUAGACCUUCGUCUGAGUCCUCUAUUGUUGACACAGGAGUAUAUGGCGCAUGGAGCACAAGGUCUUUUCACCCAAGCUGGCUUUAUCGACUCAUCUCAGGAUGAUGGACAACAGAAUCCUUUUGGUGUGAACAAUCCUAAUCUUCAGUCUCAGGUUUGUCCUUAAUCCUAAUCCUUGAUAGUUCGUUUGCAUUAACGUUUACAAUUAACAAAAAAGGAGGAUUCUUAAGAUAGCGAAGGUUGUGUGUUUAUAUAGAGAGAAUUACACACUAAACAUUAACCCAAACUCAUACAAACAAUUGAGGCCUUUCGAGUUUGUGUUCACCAUAUUAAUCUUUGGUACUCAUGUUUCUUUUCAAAAGAUGCUAACGACUCUUCGUCUCACAGGGUCUCCCGAAUUCACUCUACUCGCAGCCUUUCUCACACUACACCCAGCCACUAAACCUUUCAGGCCCACAGCAAUCUCAACCUCCUAACCAAGGCUCACAAAACCCAAAACCUCCUCACAACGGCUAAAGAUGACACAUGCAGAAGCUGAAUGCAAACGGGUUUGUAAACCUUUUUUUUUGCAAAUUCAGCAGUUUGGUAUCAUGCUAUCACGGCUCCAAACAAACAUCUGGUGGCUUCUCGGGGUGCUUGCAAGUUACGUGCCUUUCUGGCUCGCUUAGCAACAGGUAAUGAUGAUGCAGAGAGACAUGUAC
Molecule: long non-coding RNA, 5956 nt
Filed under: Brassica napus (rape)
Lineage: Eukaryota; Viridiplantae; Streptophyta; Magnoliopsida; Brassicales; Brassicaceae
Description: long non-coding RNA (BNAP_LNC011977)
Source: RNAcentral